This 292-nucleotide RNase P RNA is filed under the name Methanobacteriota archaeon. RNAcentral's name for it is "Euryarchaeota archaeon RNase P RNA component". It matches the Rfam family "Archaeal RNase P". Rfam says of the family: Ribonuclease P (RNase P) is a ubiquitous endoribonuclease, found in archaea, bacteria and eukarya as well as chloroplasts and mitochondria. Its best characterised activity is the generation of mature 5'-ends of tRNAs by cleaving the 5'-leader elements of precursor-tRNAs. RNAcentral also lists the same sequence under 4 other names. The record is from RNAcentral. Lineage: Archaea; Methanobacteriati; Methanobacteriota.
GGGAGCAGGAGGGUUGCUGACAGUGUACGACACUGAGGAAAGUCCCCUCUCCAUGAUGCGAGUGGCCCGACGCAAGUCGGGGAUCCGAGAGGGUCGGCUCUGCAACAGAAACGAACUGCCCCGGGAGUACGAUGAAUCCGAAAGGAGGAGGUUUCCCGAAGGUAGCUGGAACGAGCACCCCCGCUGGAGCAAGUCCAAGCAGGCCCGUAAUGCAUCAACAGGGCCGGGUAGGAUGCAAAGUUGAAUGCAACCAGCCGAAAGGUGAACAGAAAGGGGCUUAUUCCCUGCACCC